GACACUGAGGAACGAAAGCAUGGGUAGCGAAGAGGAUUAGAUACCCUCGUAGUCCAUGCCGUAAACGAUGUGUGUUAGACGUUGGAAAUUUAUUUUCAGUGUCGCAGCGAAAGCGAUAAACACACCGCCUGGGGAGUACGACCGCAAGGUUAAAACUCAAAUGAAUUGACGGGGACCCGCACAAGUAGUGGAGCAUGUGGUUUAAUUCGAAGAUACGCGCAGAACCUUACCAACACUUGACAUGUUCGUCGCGACUUUAAGAGAUUAAAGUUUUCGGUUCGGCCGGACGAAACACAGGUGCUGCAUGGCUGUCGUCAGCUCGUGUCGUGAGAUGUUGGGUUAAGUCCCGCAACGAGCGCAACCCUCACUUUUAGUUGCCAUCAUUAAGUUGGGCACUCUGAAAGAACUGCCAGUGAUAAGCUGGAGGAAGGUGGGGAUGACGUCAAGUCCUCAUGGCCCUUACGUGUUGGGCUACACACGUGCUACAAUGGUAUCUACAACAGGAAGCAAAACAGCGAUGUUAAGCAAAUCCUUAAAAGAUACCUCAGUUCGGAUUGCACUCUGCAACUCGAGUGCAUGAAGCUGGAAUUACUAGUAAUCGUGGAUCAGCGUGCCACGGUGAAUGCGUUCCCGGGUCUUGUACACACCGCCCGUCACACCAUGGGAGUUGGUUCUACCUUAAGGCAAGGCUUUAAACCCUUGACCACGGUAUAGUCAGCGACUGGGGUGAAGUCGUAACAAGGUAACCGUA
Molecule: ribosomal RNA, 751 nt
Filed under: uncultured bacterium
Lineage: Bacteria
Description: bacterial SSU rRNA
Rfam family: Bacterial small subunit ribosomal RNA
Source: RNAcentral